Molecule: ribosomal RNA, 310 nt
Filed under: Metabacillus indicus
Lineage: Bacteria; Bacillati; Bacillota; Bacilli; Caryophanales; Bacillaceae
Description: bacterial SSU rRNA
Rfam family: Bacterial small subunit ribosomal RNA
Source: RNAcentral
GGAGGUCAGCGGCGGACGGGUGAGUAACACGUGGGCAACCUGCCUGUAAGACUGGGAUAACUCCGGGAAACCGGAGCUAAUACCGGAUACUAUGUCAAACCGCAUGGUUUGACAUUCAAAGACGGUUUCGGCUGUCACUUACAGAUGGGCCCGCGGCGCAUAGCUAGUUGGUGAGGUAAUGGCUCACCAAGGCGACGAUGCGUAGCCAACCUGAGAGGGUGAUCGGCCACACUGGGACUGAGACACGGCCCAGACUCCUACGGGAGGCAGCAGUAGGGAAUCUUCCGCAAUGGACGAAAGUCUGACGGAA